AUUGAACGCUGGCGGCAGGCCUAACACAUGCAAGUCGAGCGGAUGAAGGGAGCUUGCUCCUGGAUUCAGCGGCGGACGGGUGAGUAAUGCCUAGGAAUCUGCCUGGUAGUGGGGGAUAACGUCCGGAAACGGGCGCUAAUACCGCAUACGUCCUGAGUGAGAAAGUGGGGGAGCUUCGGACCUCACGCUAUCAGAUGAGCCUAGGUCGGAUUAGCUAGUUGGUGGGGUAAAGGCCUACCAAGGCGACGAUCCGUAACUGGUCUGAGAGGAUGAUCAGUCACACUGGAACUGAGACACGGUCCAGACUCCUACGGGAGGCAGCAGUGGGGAAUAUUGGACAAUGGGCGAAAGCCUGAUCCAGCCAUGCCGCGUGUGUGAAGAAGGUCUUCGGAUUGUAAAGCACUUUAAGUUGGGAGGAAGGGCAGUAAGUUAAUACCUUGCUGUUUUGACGUUACCAACAGAAUAAGCACCGGCUAACUUCGUG
This 484-nucleotide ribosomal RNA is filed under the name uncultured bacterium. Its description in RNAcentral is "partial 16S ribosomal RNA". It matches the Rfam family "Bacterial small subunit ribosomal RNA", at positions 30 to 507 of the family's 1533-position model. The record is from RNAcentral.